This 72-nucleotide transfer RNA is filed under the name Methanocella sp. PtaU1.Bin125. RNAcentral's name for it is "tRNA-Cys". It matches the Rfam family "tRNA". From Rfam's summary of the family: Transfer RNA (tRNA) molecules are approximately 80 nucleotides in length. The record is from RNAcentral. Lineage: Archaea; Methanobacteriati; Methanobacteriota; Methanomicrobia; Methanocellales; Methanocellaceae.
GCCAACGUGGCGGAACGGUGACGCAAACGCCUGCAGAGCGUUUUUAAUCCGGUUCAACUCCGGACGUUGGCU